RNAcentral lists this long non-coding RNA (275 nucleotides) under Panax ginseng (ginseng). RNAcentral's name for it is "long non-coding RNA (PGIN_LNC015162)". Lineage: Eukaryota; Viridiplantae; Streptophyta; Magnoliopsida; Apiales; Araliaceae. The record is from RNAcentral.
GUAUACCUGAGCUAUAACCACCUGUGGGGGUACCACAGGCAUGUCCUCUUGGCACCGAGGCAUGACACCUUCCGUGGCGGUGUGAUCAGUCCACGGCGUCUCCGUUUUGUGCUCCGGUGGGAGUUGGCCAUUUUGUGUUUUGUUGUGGGAGGCGUAUGGGUCGACCCUAGUUUUCUGUUCUGUUCUGUUCUACGGAUUGGUGAUGUUUGUGCCAAACACACCUUCCGAUUUUACAUGCAUUGGAUUCGUGGUCCAUUGUGUGUGACUUGCUUGUG